AUUGAACGCUGGCGGCAGGCCUAACACAUGCAAGUCGAGCGGAUGAAGGGAGCUUGCUCCUGGAUUCAGCGGCGGACGGGUGAGUAAUGCCUAGGAAUCUGCCUGGUAGUGGGGGAUAACGUCCGGAAACGGGCGCUAAUACCGCAUACGUCCUGAGGGAGAAAGUGGGGGAUCUUCGGACCUCACGCUAUCAGAUGAGCCUAGGUCGGAUUAGCUAGUUGGUGGGGUAAAGGCCACCAAGGCGACGAUCCGUAACUGGUCUGAGAGGAUGAUCAGUCACACUGGAACUGAGACACGGUCCAGACUCCUACGGGAGGCAGCAGUGGGGAAUAUUGGACAAUGGGCGAAAGCCUGAUCCAGCCAUGCCGCGUGUGUGAAGAAGGUCUUCGGAUUGUAAAGCACUUUAAGUUGGGAGGAAGGGCAGUAAGUUAAUACCUUGCUGUUUUGACGUUACCAACAGAAUAAGCACCGGCUAACUUCGUG
RNAcentral lists this ribosomal RNA (483 nucleotides) under uncultured bacterium. RNAcentral describes it as "partial 16S ribosomal RNA". It matches the Rfam family "Bacterial small subunit ribosomal RNA", at positions 30 to 507 of the family's 1533-position model. The record is from RNAcentral.